UACAUCCAAGGCCCGAUGAGUCAUUAUUGUGAUGGUUAUUGAUCUUGACAAAGACCUUGAUGGGGAGUAGAUGAUUAUGCCUGAGCUUUAUCAGAAUGAACAUGUCCAGAAGAUGAUUCAAGACAAAUGGAUUAAGAAACUAGGAGCAGAGCAACUUAAGCUCUGCCUGAAGAAGAAUGGGUUCAAACUGAUUGGCAAUGUGGACACAGUAAUUCAGCAUAUUAAGGACCAUCUAGACAAAGAGUCUCUGAUAUACAACCACUUACCAGACCAGUGAGUGCAUAUUUCUCUGGUUGCUUGGUUUGUCCGGAUGGAACAAAAUGAUUUUAAGGUAAAUGGCACAAGGGGAGGACGGACAGUCAAUUAGUAACAAUAUAGUCUUGCAUCUGUGUCAUCUCUUUUGGUUCUUAAAGUUUUGUUCUCUUACCAAUACUGUAAUCUCAGGGUAAUCUAAGUCUUAAUGCAAAUCUCUUGAUGGCUUGACUUUAUUUUGGGCAAGCUUUAUAGUUGUUGAGCAUGGUUUUGUGUUUUAUAUUGGUAAGAAUUUAUGGUUUCCAACUGGUCAUUGAAAGAGGGUAAAUGUAAGUUCUCCCACUGGCUGAGAAGUGACUCUACUGUCAGGUGAUUGCACUGUUUCAUUAAUCUUAAGUUUAUUGA
Molecule: RNA transcript, 657 nt
Organism: Fragaria vesca subsp. vesca
Lineage: Eukaryota; Viridiplantae; Streptophyta; Magnoliopsida; Rosales; Rosaceae
Exons: 4
Source: RefSeq, a predicted model, not a curated record